Molecule: ribosomal RNA, 472 nt
Filed under: uncultured bacterium
Lineage: Bacteria
Description: partial 16S ribosomal RNA
Rfam family: Bacterial small subunit ribosomal RNA
Source: RNAcentral
GACGAACGCUGGCGGCGUGCUUAACACAUGCAAGUCGAACGAUGAAGCUUGGUGCUUGCACUGGGUGGGUGAGUGGCGAACGGGUGAGUAAUACGUGAGUAACCUGCCCUUGACUCUGGGAUAAGCCUGGGAAACUGGGUCUAAUACUGGAUACGACAUGUCACCGCAUGGUGGUGUGUGGAAAGGGUUUUACUGGUUUUGGAUGGGCUCACGGCCUAUCAGCUUGUUGGUGGGGUAAUGGCUCACCAAGGCGACGACGGGUAGCCGGCCUGAGAGGGUGACCGGCCACACUGGGACUGAGACACGGCCCAGACUCCUACGGGAGGCAGCAGUGGGGAAUAUUGCACAAUGGGCGGAAGCCUGAUGCAGCGACGCCGCGUGAGGGAUGACGGCCUUCGGGUUGUAAACCUCUUUCAGCACGGAAGAAGCGAAAGUGACGGUACGUGCAGAAGAAGCGCCGGCUAACUACGUG